Molecule: ribosomal RNA, 1235 nt
Filed under: metagenome
Description: bacterial LSU rRNA
Rfam family: Bacterial large subunit ribosomal RNA
Source: RNAcentral
UGAGUACGAGAUGCUACGGCAUUGAAGCAGUCUAUGUCAUACUUCCAAGAAAAGCUUGCACUGUCAUAAACAAAGAAUGCCUGUACCAUAACCGACACAGGUGGGUAGGUAGAGUAUACUAAGGGGCGCGAGAUAACUCUCUCUAAGGAACUCGACAAAAUGACUCCGUAACUUCGGGAGAAGGAGUGCCUUAUUUUUAAGGUUGCAAUAACAAGAUCCAAGCAACUGUUUAUCAAAAACACAGGUCUCCGCUAAGUCGUAAGACGAUGUAUGGGGGCUGACGCCUGCCCAGUGCCAGAAGGUUAAAGAAGUUGGUUAGCAUUCGCGAAGCUGAUAACUGAAGCCCUGGUGAACGGCGGCCGUAACAAUAACGGUCCUAAGGUAGCGAAAUUCCUUGUCGGGUAAGUUCCGACCCGCACGAAAGGCGUAAUGAUUUGGAUACUGUCUCGGAGAGGGACUCGGUGAAAUAGACUUGUCUGUGAAGAUGCGGACUACCUGCACCUGGACAGAAAGACCCUAUGAAGCUUUACUGUAACUUGAAAUUGAAAUUGGACUUUAGUUGCGCAGGAUAGGUGGGAGGCGUUGAGAAUAUUCUUGCGGGAGCAUUGGAGCCAUCAGUGAGAUACCACUCUUCUAAUGUUAGAUUUCUAACUUUGUAUCAUUAUCUGGUCAAAGAACAGUUUCAGGCGGGCAGUUUGACUGGGGCGGUCGCCUCCUAAAGGGUAACGGAGGCGCACAAAGGUUUCCUCUGAACGAGUAGAAAUCGUAUCUAGAGUGUAAAGGCAUAAGGAAGCUUGACUGUGAGACCUACAAGUCGAGCAGGGACGAAAGUCGGUCUUAGUGAUCUGACGGUGCUGAGUGGAAAGGCCGUCACUCAACGGAUAAAAGUUACUCUAAGGAUAACAGGCUGAUCUCCCCCAAGAGUUCACAUCGACGGGGAGGUUUGGCACCUCGAUGUCGGCUCAUCGCAUCCUGGGGCGGUAGUACGUCCCAAGGGUUGGGCUGUUCGCCCAUGAAAGCGGUACGCGAGCUGGGUUCAGAACGUCGUGAGACAGUUCGGUCCAUAUCCGGUGUAGGCGUUAGAAUAUUGAGAGGAGCCUUCUCUAGUACGAGAGGACCGAGAAGGACAUACCUCUAGUGUACCAGUUAUCGUGCCAACGGUAAACGCUGGGUAGCUAUGUAUGGAGUGGAUAACCGCUGAAAGCAUCUAAGUGGGAAGCCCACCUCAAGAUAAG